GAUGAACGCUGGCGGCGUGCCUAAUACAUGCAAGUAGAACGCUGAAGGAAGGAGCUUGCUCUUUCCGGAUGAGUUGCGAACGGGUGAGUAACGCGUAGGUAACCUGCCUGGUAGCGGGGGAUAACUAUUGGAAACGAUAGCUAAUACCGCAUAACAGUAGAUGUUGCAUGAUAUCUACUUAAAAGGUGCAAUUGCACCACUACCAGAUGGACCUGCGUUGUAUUAGCUAGUUGGCGAGGUAACGGCUCACCAAGGCGACGAUACAUAGCCGACCUGAGAGGGUGAUCGGCCACACUGGGACUGAGACACGGCCCAGACUCCUACGGGAGGCAGCAGUAGGGAAUCUUCGGCAAUAGACGGAAGUCUGACCGAGCAACGCCGCGUGAGUGAAGAAGGUUUUCGGAUCGUAAAGCUCUGUUGUAAGAGAAGAACGAGUGUGAGAGUGGAAAGUUCACACUGUGACGGUAUCUUACCAGAAAGGGACGGCUAACUACGUG
RNAcentral lists this ribosomal RNA (497 nucleotides) under uncultured bacterium. RNAcentral's name for it is "partial 16S ribosomal RNA". It matches the Rfam family "Bacterial small subunit ribosomal RNA", at positions 28 to 507 of the family's 1533-position model. The record is from RNAcentral.